CCUAGGGGAGGCAGCAGUGGGGAAUAUUGCACAAUGGGCGCAAGCCUGAUGCAGCCAUGCCGCGUGUAUGAAGAAGGCCUUCGGGUUGUAAAGUACUUUCAGCGGGGAGGAAGGCGUUGAGGCUAAUAACCUCAUCGAUUGACGUUACCCGCAGAAGAAGCACCGGCUAACUCCGUGCCAGCAGCCGCGUAAU
This 193-nucleotide ribosomal RNA is filed under the name uncultured Enterobacter sp. Its description in RNAcentral is "partial 16S ribosomal RNA". It matches the Rfam family "Bacterial small subunit ribosomal RNA", at positions 338 to 524 of the family's 1533-position model. Lineage: Bacteria; Pseudomonadati; Pseudomonadota; Gammaproteobacteria; Enterobacterales; Enterobacteriaceae. The record is from RNAcentral.